GAUAUGUUGGAAAUUGGCAAUGGAGGCAUGACUUACAGAUUCUAAGAAAUAAGGAGGUCAUUGCCGUAAAUCAAGACCCACUUGGGGUAAGAAAGGAAAGUUUAAACUGCCGGAACUGAUGGUUGCCUACAGUUGCUUUGCCUGGAAAUCGCUUGGGGGUUGCUCUUGGAAUCAUUGAUCCAAAGCUGCAACAAUUACAGUUAGAUGGAAUGUGCUUGGGCUUGAAGUUGGCACCAGUGUCUCAGCGCGAGACUUGUGGUAGCACAAAGAUGUUGCAGGAGAUGCAGCGGCAUCAUUUGGCGCUCGAGUAGAUUCUCACAAUUGUGUUUUAGAAGAGGAAGAAUUUGUUUCAAUGGA
Molecule: unclassified non-coding RNA, 357 nt
Filed under: Hevea brasiliensis (rubber tree)
Lineage: Eukaryota; Viridiplantae; Streptophyta; Magnoliopsida; Malpighiales; Euphorbiaceae
Source: RNAcentral